GCCACUGUCCUGCGCAUGAGAUCCAGCAUGAUGGCUGCCUCUUUGGCGGUCAGGCUGUUGGGUGGAGGCCUGGAAGGCAUCUCUGGCGGCCUCCAGCUCAUUGGCCAAGUUUUGCACCAUUUUGUGAACUCCUCACGAGUCUUGGGUGGAUCACGAGUGACCUGCAAAAAGACAAGUUUGACUGAAUCACUGUGCUGACAAACGAUAUCAGAUUACAAGAGACAGGGCAAUUGGGAAGGGGCCAAAAUGUAUAGUACUCACGAGAGUUGCACGCAGCAGGAGCUCGUUGUCUGAAAUCAGCUGCUGUAUGGGUCCAGGCACAGCAUCUGCUGUGAGUUUCUCUCUGCUCCAGGCCCUAUGACCAGCGUCAAGAGAGUUGUCGCAUACGCUGUCAGGCUGCACUGCACUCCUCAGGGGCCGGCGCAGGGGGCAGAUGAUUAUCUCCAAAUGUCCAGGAGGCUUGGCAGCCUUUUGCACGCGCUUGAGGUGUUGGAGUCCAGACAAUGGAGCAAGCGUACUCAGCUGCUUGACCAGCAGGCUUGCUUGCUUUGGACUUAUGAGAGCCACCAGCACUUCUU
This 578-nucleotide long non-coding RNA is filed under the name Coccomyxa subellipsoidea. RNAcentral describes it as "long non-coding RNA (CSUB_LNC000368)". The record is from RNAcentral. Lineage: Eukaryota; Viridiplantae; Chlorophyta; Trebouxiophyceae; Coccomyxaceae.